CUCCCAUGGUGGCAAACCUUCGGAGUCGGUGCUGAUGGCCCCAAUCCUCAGUGACUAUGGCAAGGCCACGUUCGUUGACUACAAUCGGUUCGGCAACUACAGCCGGUCCGGUGAGAGGAAGAAAAAGGCAAAAAAAAACAUAGGACGGCUUUCUCCAUGGAAUCCAACAACCACAUAGAUGGCGGAGGCAUUAAAGAAACUAGAAACAAGAAGGAGAA
This 218-nucleotide long non-coding RNA is filed under the name Elaeis guineensis (African oil palm). RNAcentral describes it as "long non-coding RNA (EGUI_LNC041408)". The record is from RNAcentral. Lineage: Eukaryota; Viridiplantae; Streptophyta; Magnoliopsida; Arecales; Arecaceae.